Molecule: ribosomal RNA, 253 nt
Filed under: uncultured bacterium
Lineage: Bacteria
Description: partial 16S ribosomal RNA
Rfam family: Bacterial small subunit ribosomal RNA
Source: RNAcentral
UAUGGAGGGAGCUAGCGUUGUUCGGAUUUACUGGGCGUAAAGGGUGCGUAGGCGGUUUGGUAAGUCUGACGUGAAAUCUCCGGGCCUAACCCGGAAACUGCGUUGGAUACUAUCUGACUAGAGGAAUGGAGGGGAGACUGGAAUACUUGGUGUAGCAGUGACAUGCGUAGAUAUCAAGUGGAACACCAGUGGCGAAGGCGAGUCUCUGGACAUUUCCUGACGCUGAGGCACGAAAGCCAGUGGAGCAAACGGG